GCCACGCUGACCCCCACACAUCCCCCACCGAUGAUCACUGUGUCUGCGGUGUCCUUCCACCUCUUCCUCAACGAUGACGAUGCAUCACUGAAGACGGAUAAACACAGAAUUAUAUGGGAGUCAUUACAGCUCCAACGUUUGUUUACAACGCUUGUCACACCUGAGCUGACUAACUGAAGACACCAUGUCGACCAAUGAUGCAGAAGCACCGAAGCACCAGGACUACUUUAAGUGCAACAUUUCUGCAUAAAGUUGCAUGCAUCGACCAGCUGUGCAUCGUACGCACAUUAGACGCACUACAAGUGCAGCAGAUGGUCCUGACAGGAAGCCCAACACCUCGACACGCGGCUAAAUCUCUCCGCAUAUGACUGUUGAUUAGGUUUAAUAUCCGAGCCAUAAUUGAGUUGAAUUGGAGUCCAGCUUUUAGGACCGUUGUUGCAAAGGAGCUGGAUGAGAUGACAUUUUCACCUGACAGCAACAUAGUAACCUGGAUUAGUUAAAGCACAUUUCAACCCCCUUGUGAGAGAUCAGAAUCAGAAAGAAAAGGUGUAUUGCCACAGUAAACUACAACAUCCUCAACGAGAGUAGCAUCUAUACAGCAUAUCCUCUCUAAGAAUAUCAUGUUGCUGCACGUGGUGUUCUUUCUAAGAUAGAGGGAUGUAGGGUAUAGAGGAGCGUCCUAAAAAAGAUCCAAGACAUAUAAUCAUCAUGUUUUGACUGGCGGUGUAAUGCACUCAAGUGCUGUACACAUCUGAGGUACUU
Long non-coding RNA from Perca flavescens (yellow perch), 762 nucleotides. RefSeq lists it as uncharacterized. The transcript is spliced from 3 exons. NCBI's taxonomy places the organism in Eukaryota, Metazoa, Chordata, Actinopteri, Perciformes, Percidae. The record is from RefSeq and is a predicted model, not a curated record.